This 432-nucleotide ribosomal RNA is filed under the name uncultured bacterium. RNAcentral describes it as "bacterial SSU rRNA". It matches the Rfam family "Bacterial small subunit ribosomal RNA", at positions 355 to 786 of the family's 1533-position model. The record is from RNAcentral.
UGAGGAAUAUUGGUCAAUGGGCGGGAGCCUGAACCAGCCAAGCCGCGUGAGGGAAGAAGGCCCUAUGGGUCGUAAACCCUUUUGUCAGGGAACAAAAGCGAGUAUGUAUACUAGUCUGAGUGUACCUGAAGAAAAAGCAUCGGCUAACUCCGUGCCAGCAGCCGCGGUAAUACGGAGGAUGCGAGCGUUAUCCGGAUUUAUUGGGUUUAAAGGGUGCGUAGGCGGCGAUGCAAGUCAGCGGUAAAAGCCCGGGGCUCAACCCCGGCGAGCCGUUGAAACUGCAGUGCUAGAGAAGGCGAGAGGUACGCGGAAUGCGCAGUGUAGCGGUGAAAUGCUUAGAUAUUGCGCAGAACUCCGAUUGCGAAGGCAGCGUACUGGCGCCUGACUGACGCUGAGGCACGAAAGCGUGGGGAUCGAACAGGAUUAGAUACC